UAUUGCACAAUGGGCGGAAGCCUGAUGCAGCGACGCCGCGUGAGGGAUGAAGGCCUUCGGGUUGUAAACCUCUUUCAGCAGGGACGAAGCGUGAGUGACGGUACCUGCAGAAGAAGCACCGGCUAACUACGUGCCAGCAGCCGCGGUAAUACGUAGGGUGCGAGCGUUGUCCGGAAUUACUGGGCGUAAAGAGUUCGUAGGCGGUUUGUCGCGUCGUUUGUGAAAACCCGGGGCUCAACUUCGGGCUUGCAGGCGAUACGGGCAGACUUGAGUGUUUCAGGGGAGACUGGAAUUCCCGGUGUAGCGGUGAAAUGCGCAGAUAUCAGGAGGAACACUGGUGGCGAAGGCGGGUCUCUGGGAAACAACUGACGCUGAGGAACGAAAGCGUGGGUAGCAAACAG
This 401-nucleotide ribosomal RNA is filed under the name uncultured bacterium. RNAcentral describes it as "bacterial SSU rRNA". It matches the Rfam family "Bacterial small subunit ribosomal RNA", at positions 362 to 775 of the family's 1533-position model. The record is from RNAcentral.